RNAcentral lists this long non-coding RNA (346 nucleotides) under Ananas comosus (pineapple). RNAcentral's name for it is "long non-coding RNA (ACOM_LNC031472)". The record is from RNAcentral. Lineage: Eukaryota; Viridiplantae; Streptophyta; Magnoliopsida; Poales; Bromeliaceae.
AAUGAAAUAAAGGAUUUAUGAUUCUUGUAAAAAUGAAAGUGAUUUUCUACCCCUCGUGGUAGCGUGUUUUAAAAAGGAAAAGGUUUCCGUGUAGGAAAAGUUUUUAAAAGGUUUUCUUGAUUUUCAUGACUUAGUGUUUUAAAAACGAGUUUUCGUGUAGGAAACAUUUUAAACCGAUAGUUGUGGAUUUAUGGAUAAUUCUAAAUGUAAUUGUGAAUGUGAAUGGUGUAUGAAUAUGUGAAUGUUCAUGUGUGGUUGUAUCCUGUAUCGUGAAUCUUGCAUCUUGUACUUGUACGACGCCAUGCAAAUACAGGAAAGACUCUGUCCGUGUGAAUAGUGAAUUUCC